GGAUUUAAUUUAGAUUCAUUUUAUAACUUAUCGAUUUUAGAGAGAUAUCACAUGUCGAAAUCGAUAUUUAUGUAAAAAUACAGUAUCAAGCAGAAUCGAAGCCAGUAUUUUAUUACAGUUACAGAAUCACCGAGACAUAGAUAAUACAUCAUUAAUCCUUCUCUACAUUUUUUUUCUUUCUUUUUCAUUCCACCACCCAUUGCUCCCCAACCACCAACACCACUACUUUACUAUCACCACUACACUUUGUUGAGCACUACAUUCUGUCAAAACACUACAACAACUUCUCCACUUAGCCUCAACUUCAACCAACAAACCACAUUCAUUCUCUUCCAUUUUUUCAUGUAGAAUCCACUAAGGAACAAGAGGAAAUCGUUUAUUACUCUGCCAGCAAACUUCAAGAGGUAAGCUUGGUUCAAUUUCUUCACCUUUCUUCCAUAUGCAACCUGCAUUAACAGAAGGACCUAAUUCAUUUCAGUUAUCUCCCUAGUUAAAACUACUCAAGUUCGGCAAAUAGUUCAUCAAUCAAACAAAGCAACUUCACGGUGAGUUUUAUACUUUAACUCUACCAUUUUCUGCCAAAGUCUCAUUCAUUCGUUAAACAAUGGCAGCUUCAAUUCAUUUCAGUUAUUUCACACUUCACUAAACUCCAGCAACAACCAAUCAGUUGAAAACAAGUGAGGUAAUUCACUAUCUCAAAUAACCAUUCCAGAAAACAUUCAUAUCAAGCAUGAUUAUGGUUAGUUUCACAAUGCCAGAAGACCGUAUAAUCAUCUUGAACUUAGCAAGCACCAACAACAUUCUAAUAUUCAAGUGACAGUUCCUAUGUAGUUCUAAUCAAGCAUAAUUUGAGUUAUGCAAAACAAGAAGAUUUCACCUUGUCUAGUUCACGUUUUCGAAUCGAUAAAAAGGAAGAAUGACUAGAGAACUUAGCUUAAGGAAUAGGGCCGACUGCCCUGCUCUGAAUCGGAAGACGGCGCGACGACGGAGCUUCCAUUGACGUCUGAAUCGGGACUAUCGGAGCUCUGCGACUCACGGCGACGGCGGCUCCGGGAAAGGAGGCUGCCGGGCCCUUGCUGUUAACAGCAGCGGCUGGCGGCGGCGCUCCAGGCGGCGGCGUUACCUCAGCAGCGGCGACGUCCGACGAUAAAACUCCAGACCGCGACCCGGCGAAAUAGCAGCGGCGAAUCACGUCGGACUUCCAGUUGCAACGACGGCCUCGACGGAAAUUGGGCACAGCGGCGGUUCGCGGUGCCUUCACCCAGCACCGACAGCGACGGAAGGAGCCGACCUCGUCGGACCUCAGAAUGGCGGAAAUAGCGUCAUGCUCGCCGGAAAAUGCAGCGGCGGCGGCAGCUCCAAAAAGGGAAAUUUGGGAUUUCUUUUUGAAUUCUCCAGUAAAUUUGAGAGGAAGGAAUUGAAGAGAGGAGGAGGUGUCGGACCUUGGCGAGGUAGAAGCUGACUCGCCGGAUUGUGGAGCGGCGACGGCGGGCGCCUCGGCUGGAGAUGGAUCGAGAGAGAGAGAGAGAACCGAAGGGAGAGAGAGCUCGACUGUUUGGAAUAUUGGGCUUGCUAGAUGAGCUUAUUAUUUGAUUGAUUUGGGCCUUGUAUAAUUUUUUUAUUGGGCUCUUUUAUUGGGCUUUCUUUAUUUUAAUUUAUAUGGGCUGAUUUUAAAUUGUGAAUUGGGCCUCUGAUUUUAUUUAUAUGGGCUGAUUUUAAUUACUGAUUGGGCAUUUGAUUUUAUUUAUAUGGGCCUUUGAUUAUUCACUUAUUUGGGCUGUUGUAUCAUUUCAGUUGGGCCUUAUUUAUUUUACUCAGAUGGGCUUUUAUUACAUUAUUUCAUUGGGCCGAAUUUAUUUAAAUUGAAGCCCAUCUAUUUUAUUUUAACUGAGCUGUUAUAUUAUCUUCGUUGGGCCUCGUUUGAUUUAUUUAAUUGAGCCCAGUUAAUCAAAUUAUUUAUUUAUUGGGCCAAGAUUUAUUUAAUUACUUGAGCCGAUGAAAUAUUUAAUUGGGCCUCUCAUGCUAAUUAUUCAAGCCCAAUUCUACUUAAUUAAUUAUUAGGCUACCUUAUGUUGAGCCUUUUAGUUAUUUAAUCUUAUAACAUUACUUUCUCCCAUUUAUUAAAGCUCGAUUGAGUUUUACGAGGUUAAAGCGAGUAAGUUGAAGUAAUUAAUUAUUUAUUUUCUAUCGACUACGAGGAGUGGGGUUAUUUAAUCGGCGGAUUAGAACAUCCUGAAGAGAAUAGAUUAAUUUUAAUUAAUUAUCCGACUUCAUGAGACGAAACUUAGCUUUUGUUAAAUCCGAUAGCCAGGAUUAACAAUAGAAAUUCCCUGAUUAUUAUCCCAGAAUAAUAGUUCAUGCAUAUGAGGUUCAUGCAUAGUUAAGUACGCAUUCUCAUUUUGAGGAUUUUACUCGAGCAAAUAUCUUACUUUAUAUCUCGCAAUAAAGGUCAAGCGCGAGAGUAAUAAUAGCCAGUCAAGGAGCUACUAUACCAUAGCAAAGUUUGCUAUCAGGUGGGCAUUACUUUCAUAUAUAUCAAAUGAGUUUAAAUGUUACGUUCAAGCAAGUUAUUUCAUGACUAAAUUAAUUGAAAUUAUUUCAACUGUUGUCUUGCCAUAAAUGUUUCAAUGUUUGGUAUGAUAUCUAUCUGAUGUGGCUUUGCCAGUUAUUAUGAAAUCGAAUUCGGGUCCUGAGCAGUUGAUAGCUAUCCUGCCAGGGCUAGUGUACACCAGUGACCGUGAGUCAUCUAGCGGGUUGGCCGGUCAAGUGUCCGUGAGAGGUGGCCACCUCUCCGGCACACAGUUCCAGAUAUGAUAGAUUACAAGAGAACUUAGUCUGCAGACGAACUUUAAGAAUCACAAAUGAAUUUAGUAAGCUUGGGCCUUUUUAGCGAAAAACUCCCUUGCUGUACUGUUUAUGAUGGCAUGACAAUUUACAACUUUACGAAGCAUGUUAUAUUUCAUAGUAGGCAUAUGUGCCCACUGAGUACUUUUGUACUCAGCCCUGCAUAUAUUUCUAAAUGUGCAGGUUGAGCAGCUGCCGAUGGUGAUGAAGUGACGAGCGGGAC
Molecule: long non-coding RNA, 3067 nt
Filed under: Salvia miltiorrhiza (redroot sage)
Lineage: Eukaryota; Viridiplantae; Streptophyta; Magnoliopsida; Lamiales; Lamiaceae
Description: long non-coding RNA (SMIL_LNC008015)
Source: RNAcentral